GAUGAACGCUAGCUACAGGCUUAACACAUGCAAGUCGAGGGGAAACGAUAUUGGAAGCUUGCUUCCGAUAGGCGUCGACCGGCGCACGGGUGAGUAACGCGUAUCCAACCUGCCCAUCACUUGGGGAUAACCUUGCGAAAGUAAGACUAAUACCCAAUGAUAUCUCUAGAAGACAUCUGAAUGAGAUUAAAGAUUUAUCGGUGAUGGAUGGGGAUGCGUCUGAUUAGCUUGUUGGCGGGGUAACGGCCCACCAAGGCGACGAUCAGUAGGGGUUCUGAGAGGAAGGUCCCCCACAUUGGAACUGAGACACGGUCCAAACUCCUACGGGAGGCAGCAGUGAGGAAUAUUGGUCAAUGGGCGAGAGCCUGAACCAGCCAAGUAGCGUGCAGGAUGACGGCCCUAUGGGUUGUAAACUGCUUUUAUAAGGGAAUAAAGUGAGUCUCGUGAGACUUUUUGCAUGUACCUUAUGAAUAAGGACCGGCUAAUUCCGCGCCAGCCGCCGCCGUAA
RNAcentral lists this ribosomal RNA (508 nucleotides) under uncultured bacterium. Its description in RNAcentral is "partial 16S ribosomal RNA". It matches the Rfam family "Bacterial small subunit ribosomal RNA", at positions 28 to 523 of the family's 1533-position model. The record is from RNAcentral.